ACAACAUCAAUGACUGCGUGCAAGGGCAGCACUGGGUGGCGAUUCACUGCGCUGUUCCAACAUUAGAAGCCGACCCAACAUUGCUUCGAUCGUCAGUCUGACAUGUUAAGUCCUCUCUCCCUAAUUUCCCCUUUGAAGGUUAUGUAGCAGCUUCUUUCAUGGCUUCAUCAUCAUGCGAGGAUUUUUUAGGGAUUCUUUGAGCUAUAAUUAAAUAAACAAAUGGUACCCCCUUUGUCCAUAACAUGAAUUGACCCUUCAGGUCUUGAGUGAAGCCAAGUUAGGUGUAUUUAUACAAGAUGUUGCUUUGAUGUCUUCUACUUUGUUCAAGAUUCACUAUCCCUCUUGGUAUGGCACUUGUUGUUGGAUUGGUUGGUUAGGGCCUAUUUCAACGCAAAUUUCCUAUGAUUCUAGACUCGGAUGCCCACCACUGAGUGCUCUCGACUUGGAUUGUUGAGCUAUCAAGGGCCUUAGAUCCAGGUUUAACCCGACCAAAUGUGAGUUGCUAUCUCCCUAUCACCCUCGCGAGGAAGUGACGGUUUCAUAUGGUAAUUAAACAUAUGAAAGAGUUUAUCGACUCUAUACAACAUGAUUUGGUUAACCGACUUUGAAAUGAAGAAGGGUAUUUUGAAGAAUCUCAAAUUAAGAAUUUAGUCGUAGAUUUAAUGUCGGGAUUUAUUAGAAAAAUGUUUUGAUCUUGUAAUUCCAUAUACUUGAACGGGUUGUUGGGUUGUUUAAUACUAGUUAACUUUUGUCGUGAGCAUGUGCAUUUGUGUGUAAUUGGAAUUAUAUUAGGAAAUAUUACUAAAACUUCUUGAAUUUUGUAAAAAUAUUAAAAAAAAUAUAUUUUUUCUUGUGU
This 856-nucleotide long non-coding RNA is filed under the name Helianthus annuus (common sunflower). Its description in RNAcentral is "hypothetical non coding rna". Lineage: Eukaryota; Viridiplantae; Streptophyta; Magnoliopsida; Asterales; Asteraceae. The record is from RNAcentral.